UAAUACUGAUCUUCCCAAUC
Molecule: unclassified non-coding RNA, 20 nt
Filed under: Dictyostelium discoideum
Lineage: Eukaryota; Evosea; Eumycetozoa; Dictyosteliales; Dictyosteliaceae
Source: RNAcentral